RNAcentral lists this ribosomal RNA (1346 nucleotides) under Staphylococcus aureus. RNAcentral's name for it is "partial 23S ribosomal RNA". It matches the Rfam family "Bacterial large subunit ribosomal RNA", at positions 1573 to 2925 of the family's 2925-position model. Lineage: Bacteria; Bacillati; Bacillota; Bacilli; Caryophanales; Staphylococcaceae. The record is from RNAcentral.
AAGACAUUGUGUCUUCGAGUCGUUGAUUUCACACUGCCGAGAAAAGCCUCUAGAUAGAAAAUAGGUGCCCGUACCGCAAACCGACACAGGUAGUCAAGAUGAGAAUUCUAAGGUGAGCGAGCGAACUCUCGUUAAGGAACUCGGCAAAAUGACCCCGUAACUUCGGGAGAAGGGGUGCUCUUUAGGGUUAACGCCCAGAAGAGCCGCAGUGAAUAGGCCCAAGCGACUGUUUAUCAAAAACACAGGUCUCUGCUAAACCGUAAGGUGAUGUAUAGGGGCUGACGCCUGCCCGGUGCUGGAAGGUUAAGAGGAGUGGUUAGCUUCUGCGAAGCUACGAAUCGAAGCCCCAGUAAACGGCGGCCGUAACUAUAACGGUCCUAAGGUAGCGAAAUUCCUUGUCGGGUAAGUUCCGACCCGCACGAAAGGCGUAACGAUUUGGGCACUGUCUCAACGAGAGACUCGGUGAAAUCAUAGUACCUGUGAAGAUGCAGGUUACCCGCGACAGGACGGAAAGACCCCGUGGAGCUUUACUGUAGCCUGAUAUUGAAAUUCGGCACAGCUUGUACAGGAUAGGUAGGAGCCUUUGAAACGUGAGCGCUAGCUUACGUGGAGGCGCUGGUGGGAUACUACCCUAGCUGUGUUGGCUUUCUAACCCGCACCACUUAUCGUGGUGGGAGACAGUGUCAGGCGGGCAGUUUGACUGGGGCGGUCGCCUCCUAAAAGGUAACGGAGGCGCUCAAAGGUUCCCUCAGAAUGGUUGGAAAUCAUUCAUAGAGUGUAAAGGCAUAAGGGAGCUUGACUGCGAGACCUACAAGUCGAGCAGGGUCGAAAGACGGACUUAGUGAUCCGGUGGUUCCGCAUGGAAGGGCCAUCGCUCAACGGAUAAAAGCUACCCCGGGGAUAACAGGCUUAUCUCCCCCAAGAGUUCACAUCGACGGGGAGGUUUGGCACCUCGAUGUCGGCUCAUCGCAUCCUGGGGCUGUAGUCGGUCCCAAGGGUUGGGCUGUUCGCCCAUUAAAGCGGUACGCGAGCUGGGUUCAGAACGUCGUGAGACAGUUCGGUCCCUAUCCGUCGUGGGCGUAGGAAAUUUGAGAGGAGCUGUCCUUAGUACGAGAGGACCGGGAUGGACAUACCUCUGGUGUACCAGUUGUCGUGCCAACGGCAUAGCUGGGUAGCUAUGUGUGGACGGGAUAAGUGCUGAAAGCAUCUAAGCAUGAAGCCCCCCUCAAGAUGAGAUUUCCCAACUUCGGUUAUAAGAUCCCUCAAAGAUGAUGAGGUUAAUAGGUUCGAGGUGGAAGCAUGGUGACAUGUGGAGCUGACGAAUACUAAUCGAUCGAAGACUUAAU